AGGGCGAACUUGGACUUGUUGGAGGAGAUGUGAGAGCAAGCUCGACUUUGAAUGAUGACUUGCAAGUAGAAAGUGGCUUAGUACUAAAGAAUCAGAGGAAAAGCCUCUUGAGUAAGGGAGCUCAUCAUGCAAAGAGCUGAAGUGUCUCAUCCAAUAAAAUAAGGAAAGCUAUUGCCAAACUGGAAGAGCCCAUAUCAUGUCAACGAGAUGGUGUGCCCAAGAACAUACCAACUUUGUCGAUUAGAUGGAA
Molecule: long non-coding RNA, 250 nt
Filed under: Elaeis guineensis (African oil palm)
Lineage: Eukaryota; Viridiplantae; Streptophyta; Magnoliopsida; Arecales; Arecaceae
Description: long non-coding RNA (EGUI_LNC045451)
Source: RNAcentral